RNAcentral lists this long non-coding RNA (547 nucleotides) under Pan troglodytes (chimpanzee). RNAcentral describes it as "long non-coding RNA NONPTRT004446". Lineage: Eukaryota; Metazoa; Chordata; Mammalia; Primates; Hominidae. The record is from RNAcentral.
UGAUCCACCCACCUCGGCCUCCCAAAGUGCUGGGAUUACAGGCGUGAGCCACUGUUAUAUUUCUUUUGUCAUUUUAGGAGUGUCCCUACAUGAGUAAAAUGACAGUGCAAACUUAACUCCAAUGCCAAAUAUUAAUAUUUUAUGUAUUUUAAUUAUAAUUUCUAGAAAAGACAGAAGAAGAUUGGUUGAAAAAUGAAAAUUCCUUGAACUUUGAGUUCUGCUGUCUUCAUGGUACUGCUGAAGAUCAUGAUCACGGAGAAAAGUCAGAGUGCUCAGUGCCAACCCAAGGGAUUCUUUCCAGAGACGUACCCGUUGGAUACCAAAAUUAGUUUGGAUAAUCUGUUCAACCAUUCUUGAUAAGUUAUCUGAAUAAUAAAAAAAACUCAACAGAGGAGGUAACAAUUUGAACAUUUUAUUGUCUAAUUUGAAGAUGUAUGCCAUACUUUGUUUGAUAGAAGAAAGUAAGGCACAGAAAACUUGAGUACCUUAUUUUUAAAACUGCAUUAGGAUUAAAAGGUUAGCCCCUAUAUCCAAGUAUUGGUCUGAG